This 253-nucleotide ribosomal RNA is filed under the name uncultured bacterium. Its description in RNAcentral is "partial 16S ribosomal RNA". It matches the Rfam family "Bacterial small subunit ribosomal RNA", at positions 524 to 776 of the family's 1533-position model. The record is from RNAcentral.
UAUGUAGGGUGCGAGCGUUAAUCGGAAUUACUGGGCGUAAAGCGUGCGCAGGCGGUUCGUUAAGUUCGUUGUGAAAGCCCCGGGCUCAACCUGGGAACUGCAAUGGAAACUGGCGGGCUUGAGUGUGGCAGAGGGGGGUGGAAUUCCGCGUGUAGCAGUGAAAUGCGUAGAGAUGCGGAGGAACACCGAUGGCGAAGGCGGCCUGCUGGGACGUGGCUGACGCUGAGGCGCGACAGCGUGGGGAGCAAACAGG